CAGCAGCCACGGUAAUACGGAGGGCGCGAGCGUUACCCGGAUUUACUGGGCGUAAAGGGCGUGUAGGCGGCCUGGGGCGUCCCAUGUGAAAGGCCACGGCUCAACCGUGGAGGAGCGUGGGAUACGCUCAGGCUAGAGGGUGGGAGAGGGUGGCGGAAUUCCCGGAGUAGCGGUGAAAUGCGCAGAUACCGGGAGGAACGCCGAUGGCGAAGGCAGCCACCUGGUCCACUUCUGACGCUGAGGCGCGAAAGCGUGGGGAGCAAACCGGAUUAGAUACCCCAGUAGUCCCUGUCUCUUAUAC
This 301-nucleotide ribosomal RNA is filed under the name uncultured bacterium. RNAcentral's name for it is "partial 16S ribosomal RNA". It matches the Rfam family "Bacterial small subunit ribosomal RNA", at positions 509 to 807 of the family's 1533-position model. The record is from RNAcentral.